This 1109-nucleotide long non-coding RNA is filed under the name Homo sapiens (human). RNAcentral's name for it is "HSALNT0389357". The record is from RNAcentral. Lineage: Eukaryota; Metazoa; Chordata; Mammalia; Primates; Hominidae.
GCGGCAGCUGGGUGGCAGCGCCCCCUGGGGACAGGCGCUGGGAUCUCAGGCGGCCAAGAGGAUGGCCGCCUGCCGCCCACACUUGGUAGCUGCCAACAAAGUUAGAAAAGUAGUUCGUGGAGCUUUUCGCGAGGACAAUUCAUUAUGAUUCUGUCACCCUGCUCCAAAACCCACUCCCGCCUCUCUACUCACACCCUGCCCAUUCUUGAAGUGGUGGUUCAAGCACAGACUGAGAGGAUUAUUGCGGAUGUCUUGAGCAUGGGACCAUUCUUUUUGCAUCCACCAAAUAACUAUUGUACUACUUUGCAUAUAUAAAUAUGAAAUCCAUACUGGUUCAGUGGAAUGAAGUGAGUUGACAUCUUCUAUUACAAAAUCUACGAGGAAAUCUAGAGGCCUCCAAGGACCUGGCUGGGCUUCAACUCUGGCUGAGUUUGAGAUGAGUAAACCAGACUGAAGGACCUUGCCCAAGGCCUGCUUCAGCUGCCAGCCACCCACACUUGCUAAGAGAAAGGAAAGGAGCUUUGUCACCUCCUGAGGGACUGCCUCUGCCAUCAGAAAACCACCCCAAUCCCUGGCACCAGCAGAGCUGGGUUGCAUCUGACUACCGUUAGCAGCUGUCCUUCAGAAGGAGGAGAUCCACCUGUCUCGAUAUCAGUGUCCUCAUUUGUGGAAUAAAAGCUCUGGAAUAAGAUCCACCCUGAUUUCAGCGGGCGUUCCUGGGUCUUGUAUGCACUAGGUGCCCUCAAUGCUUGGCAACUGGAAUGGGUUAGCCUGGAGGCAUUUAGGCUGUCCUUCUACAACCACAGAAGAGCCAUCACUGGCAGAGAGAUCCUUGGCGCAGUUAAGCAGAGAUCUUCUCAGAAGAGCUUUUGAAUAAAUGAAGUUGUUCAGAAUGGCCUUGUUAAAAUGACUCACUUGUCAAAAAACUAGAUGUGUUGGAAGGCUGGGUUGGAAGACAAGAUGUCUGAGAAGCUGUCCUGCUGCAUGAGGAGUUUCAUUGCUACACACCUAGUCUCUGGGUCCUGUGUUUUUGGCCUCCAGCUUACUUCGUGAACAUAAUAAAGGAAAGGCAUUUUCUCUUGUGCAUGCUAUGUGUGCAUGUGUGUAUG